UCCAGCUUCACUUGCCAGAUUGUUCUUUGUCAUUCAGUGCAAGACUUUGCAGCAUGUGUUGCUUUCUUGUUGCCAGCCUCGCCUGCCUCUGACUCUCCUGCUUCGCCUGCUCCAUGGUAAACCACUCAGCCUUCUGUCCCCAACCAAGGGCUCCACAUUCACAUUCCUGGUUUCUCCACCUGUUCCCCAUGGCUGAGUGGAGGGACUGCCAGUCAGCUCUACAUCACACCAGAGACUCUCCCCCUCUGUGCUUCAGCCCCUGGAUUAAACCUGCGCCCCGGGAAUCUACAGGCCUAGGAGUUAAUCUUGCUUGCUGUUUCACUUGCCUGAUUGUUCUGUUUGUUGCAAGUGGUUUCAUUAAAGCCUAUUACAAACUGA
Non-coding RNA from Epinephelus lanceolatus (giant grouper), 378 nucleotides. NCBI's taxonomy places the organism in Eukaryota, Metazoa, Chordata, Actinopteri, Perciformes, Serranidae. The record is from RefSeq and is a predicted model, not a curated record.